RNAcentral lists this ribosomal RNA (114 nucleotides) under Candidatus Peregrinibacteria bacterium. Lineage: Bacteria; Candidatus Peregrinibacteriota. The record is from RNAcentral.
CUUGGUGGUUCUAGCGACGGGGGUACACCUGUUCCCAUCCCGAACACAGCAGUUAAGCCCGUCAGCGCCAAUGGUACUACAGUUCAGCUGUGGGAGAGUAGGUCGCCGCCAAGA